This 1197-nucleotide ribosomal RNA is filed under the name Escherichia coli. Its description in RNAcentral is "partial 23S ribosomal RNA". It matches the Rfam family "Bacterial large subunit ribosomal RNA", at positions 1745 to 2925 of the family's 2925-position model. Lineage: Bacteria; Pseudomonadati; Pseudomonadota; Gammaproteobacteria; Enterobacterales; Enterobacteriaceae. The record is from RNAcentral.
AGGUCCCUCGCGGAUGGAGCUGAAAUCAGUCGAAGAUACCAGCUGGCUGCAACUGUUUAUUAAAAACACAGCACUGUGCAAACACGAAAGUGGACGUAUACGGUGUGACGCCUGCCCGGUGCCGGAAGGUUAAUUGAUGGGGUUAGCGGUAACGCGAAGCUCUUGAUCGAAGCCCCGGUAAACGGCGGCCGUAACUAUAACGGUCCUAAGGUAGCGAAAUUCCUUGUCGGGUAAGUUCCGACCUGCACGAAUGGCGUAAUGAUGGCCAGGCUGUCUCCACCCGAGACUCAGUGAAAUUGAACUCGCUGUGAAGAUGCAGUGUACCCGCGGCAAGACGGAAAGACCCCGUGAACCUUUACUAUAGCUUGACACUGAACAUUGAGCCUUGAUGUGUAGGAUAGGUGGGAGGCUUAGAAGUGUGGACGCCAGUCUGCAUGGAGCCGACCUUGAAAUACCACCCUUUAAUGUUUGAUGUUCUAACGUGGACCCGUAAUCCGGGUUGCGGACAGUGUCUGGUGGGUAGUUUGACUGGGGCGGUCUCCUCCUAAAGAGUAACGGAGGAGCACGAAGGUUGGCUAAUCCUGGUCGGACAUCAGGAGGUUAGUGCAAUGGCAUAAGCCAGCUUGACUGCGAGCGUGACGGCGCGAGCAGGUGCGAAAGCAGGUCAUAGUGAUCCGGUGGUUCUGAAUGGAAGGGCCAUCGCUCAACGGAUAAAAGGUACUCCGGGGAUAACAGGCUGAUACCGCCCAAGAGUUCAUAUCGACGGCGGUGUUUGGCACCUCGAUGUCGGCUCAUCACAUCCUGGGGCUGAAGUAGGUCCCAAGGGUAUGGCUGUUCGCCAUUUAAAGUGGUACGCGAGCUGGGUUUAGAACGUCGUGAGACAGUUCGGUCCCUAUCUGCCGUGGGCGCUGGAGAACUGAGGGGGGCUGCUCCUAGUACGAGAGGACCGGAGUGGACGCAUCACUGGUGUUCGGGUUGUCAUGCCAAUGGCACUGCCCGGUAGCUAAAUGCGGAAGAGAUAAGUGCUGAAAGCAUCUAAGCACGAAACUUGCCCCGAGAUGAGUUCUCCCUGACUCCUUGAGAGUCCUGAAGGAACGUUGAAGACGACGACGUUGAUAGGCCGGGUGUGUAAGCGCAGCGAUGCGUUGAGCUAACCGGUACUAAUGAACCGUGAGGCUUAACCUUACAACGCCGAAG